Molecule: unclassified non-coding RNA, 354 nt
Filed under: Hevea brasiliensis (rubber tree)
Lineage: Eukaryota; Viridiplantae; Streptophyta; Magnoliopsida; Malpighiales; Euphorbiaceae
Source: RNAcentral
GGGAUUUGUUGUUGCUUUCAUGCUAUUUAAUGUAAAAGGUAUGGUACUAAAAUGAAUUUGCCCUUGCCAGAGAAAAUAUUUCAACAUGUGCUGUGACUUUUGUUUUUAAUCCUUUCUUUCUUAAGUGACUUUGCAGAUUAUCUUAAUGACAAUUAUCUGCUUUGAUAAUGAAUGUAGAUUGGAUUUCACUUCUUAGCUAAUCUUGCUUGUAGAAUGUUGUCUGAUUGAUAUUACUAAUUUUCAAACUUUAUGAAACUUGUGCUUAUUUGGGUUUUGUUCCUUACUACAGGGUCUAAUCUCUAUUUCUGGAUAGCCAUCAUUCCUAUCACUCUUGUCCUUUUGGUGGGUACAAAA